This is a long non-coding RNA of Peromyscus eremicus (cactus mouse), 4198 nucleotides long. RefSeq lists it as uncharacterized. The record is from RefSeq and is a predicted model, not a curated record. The transcript has 4 exons. NCBI's taxonomy places the organism in Eukaryota, Metazoa, Chordata, Mammalia, Rodentia, Cricetidae.
CACACACGCACGCACAUAGAUGUUGCAGGAUUCAAUGCACGAGCUGACUCAGAUUCUGAGUUAGUAGCCAUAUUUGAUCUCACUUCAAAUAGUAAUUAAUUUUUACUAUAGAAUCUUAUGCUCCUAUAUAUAAUUCAUAUGUAAAACUCAUAUUAUCAUUAUCACUUUGAGUCCCCCUUCCCCUCUUACAACUCUCUUUCUUCCCAAGUUCCCUCCCUACCCUCACAUCUGCUUUUCUUGUGUGUGUGUGUGUACUACUGUGUAUACUUAGGGCAGCUUGUAUGAGCAUGGGUGGGGGGUCAUUGUGAGGCUGAUGACCCACCUACUCUGCUAACAGUCUAACAGGUGUGGGGGGCUUUUCCUUGAGUGGGGACAAUGUACCGGUGGGCACACCACUAUGGAGUAUGACCUCCCUUUGCAGUCUUAAUUGCCUAUGGCUCCUUAGGCAGGGUUGAGGUCUGAUGAGCCCCUCCCCAUGAUACAAUGAUGUUGGGCUCUCUUUUAGUUUUAGUUUUAAUCAAGAGAUAAUAUUACAAAGGGAAAUGGUGAAGUUUCCCUCACAUUAAACACCAGCCCCUUCCUCGGGUUGAGAACCAUUGGGUAAAGACCAUCCCUCAUCUUUUCAUUUUAUUUUUUUCCUGCUUCAAACUUCAUGAUCCUGUGGCCUUGGAGUGAGGCUUGUUGCAAAUUCUAGACUUUCCAUCUUUUCAGGUCAAGAGAUCUGGCUCAUGGGCAAGGAUGCAUAUUGAUGUUACAUUUUGAGAUGAAUAUUUUAAUGGUUUUUCAGGCUGAAGAGCUUCCCCAAGUUCAUUGGCAGUCUGUUAAACCUCCAAUGAGGCAAACCCCCUUGGGUAUUUCUGUCUAUCUCUCGAUGCUAUAGUAAUCGCUUGCCUCCCAAUGGUGACAUUUAAUCCCGUCUGCUUUGGCCUCUCAGAUGAUCUCAGAACCAAAGCUCUUGCGCUCCUUUCUCAUCUCAUACUAAAACUCAAGUUCCCUUGGUACAGACAGUUUCAAUUAGCUAGGGUUCAGGAGGAAUGUCACCUGACUUAAUUAAUUCAUACAGAUCUGCGACUGACCAAAAGCACCCUUAGAGAUGAAUUUCCUCUUGUGGCAUUUAUACUUCCUUUCUCUGGGUUCUCAUAGGUACCGUAACAGCUACAGAGCCCAGAGAGGGCAAAGGAAGGAGAGAAAAGCUGUAGGCUAUUGGCACUGGCUGAUUUUCUUAUAAGAUAAUCUGCUUGUGUAAGCAUGGGACUUCCUUAUUUGAGACAACACAAUGAUUAUUCCUGGUCACAUUGAAAUACAGCUAUGGACUGCAUUAACAAUUACAAUCAUAUCAAUUUAAAGCUUUCAGGUCCUCUGUGCUAUUCUUUGGAAAUGUUGAAUCAGGUAGACUUGAAUAAUAAAACCUGAUUUCUAUAUUGAGUUUAGUUCAGAAUGGGGGAUGGGAAGCUGUGGUGGUAGGCAGUGGGGGAUGGGAAGGGCUUGCUGGGCAGCUAGUCCAGAGAGGUGAGGGUACCCAGGCAUCAUAAAUCCUUGCUCACAAGGAAAUAGGAGUGAAGCAUCUAUCUGAGGCUUUGAGCUGGGAUUCUAAUCCUGAAAAGAAAUGGGCGCUACUGAAAUAUAGACUUGAAAAUCUGCAAAGCUUGGACUAAGGAGAAAAUGAGGAUUGUCAGAGUGAAGACGCUGUGGAGGGAGUGAGCACAAAGAUGCUGAAGACCCAGCAUCAACCACAGAGCCCAUAUACCUGGUCAACUCUAGGCCCGCCUGAUGCAAAGACUCUUGCUCCACAUCUGGCCAGAAAACACAGGCAUUUCCUGUUACAACUCAGGCCUUAGGAGUACCUGCACCUUGAUCUUGGACUAUCAGCCUCCAGAAGUGUGAGACAGUAACUAUUGUUUGAGGAAAUGCCUCCAUGAGCUCUGUAAGGCAUUUUCUUAGUGAUCAAUGAGGGAGGGCCAAGCCUGUGGUGGGUGGUGCCAUCCUUGGGCUGGUGGUCCUGGCUUCUUCUAUAAGAAGAUGGGCUGAGCAAGCCACGGGAAGCAAGCCAGUAAGCUGCUCCCCUCCAUGGCCUCUGCAUCAGUUCCUGACUCUGGGAUCCUGCCCUGUUUGAGUUCCUGUCCUGACUUCCUUCAGUGAUGAACAGCAAUGCUGAAGGGUAGAAUCUGUUUUAAAAGGUGCCUAGAAGAAGGACUGUCAGCACAUAUAUGUUGCUGUAUUGCUGGAGAGAUAUCUUCAAGAGAGAUUUCCAGAGACCUUAGAUAUCAGCAUACUGUCUUGUCCACAUCGAAUGAGGACAUCUCACUGAUGGAAACCAUGCAGGUUAAUCUACGAAAAACUAUAUAAUUGCACAAACCCAUAAAGCACUGCAGUUACAUUGUAUUUUGGUCAUUCGAAUAAUCUUUGUCUUCAAGCUCCUGGCACUUUUAGAAAUGUCCUCACUCAGAAAAAGGUGGGAAACCAAUGAAACUGAUAGACUUCCAGAAGUAAAGAUAAUUUUUCAGAUAUUGCUAGUGAGAUCGAAGAUGCUGAUGACUGCUUCUGAUGAUGCUGGAGACCAUUCUCCCGAUUCUCCUGACACUGACGUUAUUACCCCUGGAAGGAAACCAAGGUGGUGAUGCUUUCAAGAGAUUCCCACACUGAUGAAGCUCCUGAUAAUUGUUGGUUUUAAUUGACACACCACCACACUUCCAGAUGUUUGAAGGUCAUGCUGGGGUCACUGCAUCUCCUUCUCAGUGUGACUCUGUACCCUCUAUGACCAAUCUCUUUUUUGAUGAUGAAUUUAAUGUCUCAUUUGGUGUUGAGUUGUUUGAGAUGUUAUACAAAGAGCUGUCCCAACCAUCAUGAUCAAACUGCAGUGAAACUCAAAACACCAUCUAGAACACUGAAGUGGUCUCCAGUUACACAGAAGGACAUCAAGAAAUUCCUUGACUUAAUUAUUCUGAUGGGCCAAACAAGAAAAUAUAGCUUGGGAGACUAUUGGUCAACAGAUCCUUUGAUAUGUACCCCUAUAUUUCCACAGACAAAGAGUCACCAUAGAUUUGAGCAAAUAUGGACAUUCUGGCAUUUCAAUGAUAACACCAAAAUGGACAGUCACUCGGGGAGACUUUUCAAGAUCCAGCCUGUGCUGGAUUAUUUCUUCCAUAAAUUUCGAACAAUAUACAAGCCAAAGCAACAGCUCUCUUUGGACGAGGGAAUGAUUCCAUGGAGAGGACGUUUAAAAUUUCCCACAUACAACCUAGUGAAAAUAACAAUUAUGGUUCACUUGUUCGGAUGGUGUGUGAGAGUGACUCUGGCUCUGUCUGUAAUAUGGAAAUAUACACUGUUGAAGGAGAGAUUGCAAGAAACUGUUCUUUUAGCCCUUAGACCCUGUCUUGGCAUAUGGCACCAUAUUUACCAGGAUAAUUAUUACAGUGCUACAUCUACUGUUGAAUUGCUGCUACAGAACCAUACUAGAGUCUGUGGGACUGUUAGGGAGAGUAGAGGUUUAUCACCAAAUUUGAAAAUGAAAACGUGAAGAAUGAAGAAAGGUGACAUAAUAUUUUCCAGAAAAAGUGAUGUUCUUCUCCUAGCAUGGAAAGACAAGCAGAUUGUCUGAAUGAUAUCAACAGUUUGUGACACUUCUGUCUCCACAACAGGAAAAAAAAAAAUAGGAAAACGGGAGAGAAUAUUAUAAAACAGACCUGCAUUAAGGAACACAAUGCCCACAUGGAAGGCAUUGACCAUGCAGAUCAAUGCCUUACAUGUUAUCCAUGCUAAGGAAAACAGUGAAAUGGACAAAAAAAGUAGUGUUGUCCCUUAUAAACUGUGGACUUUUCAACUCCUUCAGAGUGUACAACAUCCUCAGUCCACAAGCAAAAAAGAAGUGUAAUCGGUUUCUGCUAUCGGGGGCGAGAGACUGGAUAAUGGAUGACAGUAAUGAAGGCUUGCAGGAACCAGAGAUACAUCUGUCCAGCCCUUUCCCUGGGGGUGCAAGGGGAGCACCUCCGUAAAGACCCACCCAAAAGGCCAUCAGGUGACUUGAAGCAGCAUGAACCUACAUGUAUUCCAGCAAGUGGAAAGAAAAAAUUUCCUAUGAGAGCAUGCAGAGUUUGUGCUGCCCGUGGAAAAAGGAGCUAAUCUAGACACUUAUGUAAAUUUUGUUUGGUCCCUCUUCAUAGAGGAAAAUGUUUUAUGAAGUACCAUACAUUAAAAAAGU